GUCUGCAAGUAAACCUAUGAAAGAAAAAAGGAUUUACAUGAGAUGAACAUUGAUUACAGUAGAAACAAUUUAAAAUAUCCAGGGACUUCCUGGUUUAUACGUGGAAGCUGAACACAUCCCACCCCUCUGUAACGGUAUAAAGUCUCAUCUCAAUGUGUUCACUGAAGCUGUGCCUCAUGAGGAUGGAUGGUUCUUGGGAACUCUGUGUGUUUUUCAUUUUGAUUGUUGGGAGAGCAAACUGUGUGACAGUUGAACAGACUUCAUUCAUCCUAAUCAGUGAAACAGAAGAAAUAACAAUCACUUGUAAACAUGAUAGUAGCACCGCACCAUUCAUGUUAUGGUAUCAGCAAAAAAGCAGCACAGUUAUGGAUCUAAUUGGAUAUACUGCUGGACAAACGGGUGAUCCAAACUAUGAGGAUGGAUUUAAAGAUCGAUUCAAACAGAGCAGACAGAGCACAAUUGAAGGAAGUCUGACCAUCUCGCAACUCCGCCAGUCAGACUCUGCUGUUUAUUAGUGUGCAGCAAAGGAACACAGUGCUGCACAUUUACACAACAGCCUUACUAAAACAUCACACACACACACACACACACACACACACACACACACACCAGAGGUUUGUUAUCUGAUGAGGUUUUAAAUUCCUUUCUGGUAUUUUAUGUGGAUCAGGUGACUGAACACCACUAUGAUUAU
This is a long non-coding RNA of Neoarius graeffei (lesser salmon catfish), 691 nucleotides long. RefSeq lists it as uncharacterized. The transcript has 3 exons. The record is from RefSeq and is a predicted model, not a curated record. Lineage: Eukaryota; Metazoa; Chordata; Actinopteri; Siluriformes; Ariidae.